This 234-nucleotide ribosomal RNA is filed under the name uncultured bacterium. Its description in RNAcentral is "partial 16S ribosomal RNA". It matches the Rfam family "Bacterial small subunit ribosomal RNA", at positions 15 to 244 of the family's 1533-position model. The record is from RNAcentral.
GAUCCUAGCUCAGGACGAACGCUGGCGGCGCGCCUAACACAUGCAAGUCGAACGAGAGAGAAGGAGCUUGCUUCUUCGAUCGAGUGGCGAACGGGUGAGUAACGCGUGAGGAACCUGCCUCAAAGAGGGGGACAACAGUUGGAAACGACUGCUAAUACCGCAUAAGCCCACGGGUCGGCAUCGAUCUGAGGGAAAAGGAGCAAUCCGCUUUGAGAUGGCCUCGCGUCCGAUUAG